GGGUCAGUAGGUUGGUCGUGCCACCGGUACGUACUGGUCUCACUGAUUCCUCCUUCCUGAAGAACCGUAAUGCCAUUAAUUUGGUGUUGCGGGGAAACAGGACUGUUACUUUGAAAAAAUUAUAGUGUUAAAAGCAAGCUAACGCUUGAAUACAUUAGCAUGGAAUAAUGAAAUAGGACGAUCGAUCCUAUUUUGUUGGUUUCUAGGAUUGACGUA
This 216-nucleotide ribosomal RNA is filed under the name Glomeromycotina sp. Its description in RNAcentral is "partial small subunit ribosomal RNA". The stretch from base 40 to 216 matches the Rfam family "Eukaryotic small subunit ribosomal RNA", at positions 686 to 864 of the family's 1831-position model. Lineage: Eukaryota; Fungi; Glomeromycota. The record is from RNAcentral.